Long non-coding RNA from Mirounga angustirostris (Northern elephant seal), 3336 nucleotides. RefSeq lists it as uncharacterized. The record is from RefSeq and is a predicted model, not a curated record. Lineage: Eukaryota; Metazoa; Chordata; Mammalia; Carnivora; Phocidae. The transcript is spliced from 5 exons.
UUCCCAAGCGCUCAUUGCAGGAUCUUUCUAGCAGUUCCCGAGUCGGUUCCUCCAGUCUACUGUGCCAGGGAAAACCUGCUAACCAAACUUAACAGAACCGUGCAAGAGCAAGAGACAAGCACCUGCAGGUUUCUUGACUCAACAUAUUCUCCAACCCAAACAAGAAACUUACAUGUUUAAAUUUGGAAUCAAACAUGGGUCUGCUGGAGCGAGACCUGCAGAUGAGGUGUCUCAUUAUUUGUUUGCUGGCUUCAGACUUGCCCGAUCCUCUUUCUCCACUAAAAGAAAACAGAGAGAGAAAACCUAAGUUUACUGUUUUGGAGAAUGUAGUAAACGAUCCAAUGAGCAGAGAUGCUGGGAAGACAUGUGAAUUUAACGCCAACAUCUCUAAAUGCUGGGACAUCAUAUCAAUGGGAUGCGAGUCUGCCAUCCAAUGCCUCACAGGGUAGAACCACACACGUAGGUGAAUUACAGUAGAAAGGGGUCAGGCUGAAAAGAAAAACAAUGACUACUUGUCCUCAGCUUUGUAAAUGAAGGAAAGACAUUACAUCUUCCUUGGGAGACCCAUGAAAUCUUUCUAAGCUUCCCUUGUCUUCUCUUCAAAAUGAACAUAAAGCAAGCAACUCCUGAAACUAAGUGGUUAAGAUGGUCAGAUGUGACCAGAGAUUCUGUUCACAGCUAACAAGGUGCCCAGAGGUGGAAGAAACCAGGGAAGACUUCCCCAUGAGGUGGGGGUUGAGCUGAUUCUUGGAGAAGGGGUAGCGUGGAAGGCAGUGAUUAUUCAACAAGAAAUUCUCAACCAGGACUUCCCGAGCACAUACUAUGCAACCUGAAACAGGGGGUGAGUCUACAAGGUGGAUGAGGCCAGCAGUCUGCGGACACGAAGACCCCAGAGACCUGUGAGGAUGUGCGGCUGAGCUGCCCCCCUCCUCCCACCACAGCGCUCACUCUAUCAGGACAGGUAGGAAUAGAGAAAAUGGCCGUCAGUUCUCUUAGCUGGCUAAAAUCCCAUGCAUUUUAGCCAUAUCAUAAAAUCUCAAAAUGGCCAUAUUCCAUUUAAACUCUGAGUAACAUACAAGGAAAUAAAAUAAAAAAAAAAAAGACAUGCGAUAUGUUAGGAUAGGGUUGAGUGUUAGCUCAGUGUGUUCAAGAAACAUUCCUUGACCUGCAAAUCCAGACUGUGAUUCAAUUAGAAAUUGACCAGAGAUUUUGGGUGGUGCCAAUCAGGACCCAUAAGAAUUUUAAAACUCAUCUGAUCAGUCUUGUCUGCUAAAUCUGCACGUGAUAAAGGCAGACCCUAGGCUGCGUAUUUCCCAAGUUACCUGUAUGUUCAGCAUGUAACGUUAAUUUAGAUUUGCUCCACACACUGUUAGGAUAAUGGAUUUUUGUCACAUGUGCUCUAACAACUAAUUAAAACCAUCUAUCAGGGCCUCCAGAAAAUUAAAGAUAAGAUAGAUGAUGGUGAACACCAAACUCUCAGUUAUAACCCAGGACCAAGUUCUGAAAAUUAUUAAAAAAUUAUUCCUCAAGAUGAAGCCUAGUGCGCUAGUAGGGCCUAUAAUUAUCAACAAAGUGAAAAAUAAAAUUAAAAUUUGAAAAUAAAAUUUAAAAAGUCCCACCCUAGUCCUAAGUUACAGGAUGGCUAUUCCAGGAAUAUCUGUGUUUUGAACUCCAAGUCUUAAAUUAUCCUUUGUAAAUGCUGGUUGUAAGAUAGAAUAGACUCUCUUGGGGCGCCUGGGUGGCUCAGUCAGUUAAGCAUCCAAUUCUUGGUUUUGGCUCAGGUCCUGAUCUCAGGGUCGUGAGAUGGAGCCCCACAUAGGGCUCUGCGCUCCCCGAGGAGUCUGCUCAAGACUCUCCCUCUCCCUGUGCCCCUCCCUCCCGCUCUCUCUCAAAAAUAAAUAAAUCUUUUAAAGACACAACAGACUCUCAAAAAUUAUCUUUAAACAAUGUAUUCAGCUGACUUCUAAAUUUACUAAUUUUAAUGAAUUAGUAUAAUAAAUGCAGAAAACCUUUAUCUUAGUCAAGACAAUCAAGGAGAUAGAAAAGCCACAUAAAAACAUCAAUCCUGAAAGAAGAAAGAGAAUGACUAAAAUAGUAAGUCCUUGUGAUCACAGAUUUGUUCUUCAUUUCUUGAAACCUGAACGAAGAAAUAUUUUUUUUUUUAAGAAAAACUGGUUGAUACAUGGCAUUAUUAGCCUUUAAAAAUGCCCCGAAGAAAUACUGCUUCUGCAGAAUAUUAACAAGUCCUACUGGAAAAGCAAUUCCAUGGGCAAAUUCACGUAGAAAGCACUGGGUUACAGAUAAACAGGUUUAUUUACUGAAAGAACUUGCUGGAUACUGUAAAAUCUGUAACAGGCAGAUUCCCAAAGGAUACAAUUCAUUGGCAACUCAGAACUUUGCUAUGGACCAAUGUCUUUCAAAAGAAUUGAGUGGAUUCAAUAAGAAUUUAGGAAAAUCCGUGGAUCUGUGGCCAUCAUUUUAGGGAGGCCCGGGUGAGCCGCUGGAAAGCUCCUUGGGGUAGCCGCAGGGGGCCGGCCAUGCACUCGUGGGUAAGCUUCAUUCAGGCCCAGAAGCCAGACUAUGGGCUCCCAUCCCACAUAUAGCAUCCACUGGAUCCUACACUAAUUAAUCACCAUUUACUAAUUCACAUUAUGGGGCUCACAUCCCAGAUUCACUAUUCACUAAUUGAAGACCCUAGACUAAUGAGUUACUCCUCCUAAUACACAGUCACCUGACACAUAAAAUCGUGAUGCUAAUAAUAAUACCAAUCUUAGAAGAUUGCUAAAGCAAUGGGUAAGGGAAUAUGUGGAAAGCACCUAGUGGAGGGUCUGGCACUUACUAAGUUCUCAGUAAACAUUAGUUGUUAUUACCACACUGGUACAACAUGCCCCACAGUCUCAUGAUUUUUUUAAAAGUGUUCCCCUUUUUGGUCAAAGUUAGACUAGACAAUUGGACAGAUAAAGCAGAUGAAAACACAGUUGCUUGAUUCAAGAACGGCUGGGGCCACCCUGCCCCCAGAGCCUCUCCUUCCCUGGGGACUCUUCAGAACAAGGGUGAAAACAACCACUUGCUCACAAUUUUGAAAACCAGAACACUGACGUUUGCAAGCCAUCUAUCUGACCCUCUCUGGAACUUUUUGAUCAAAUUGAUAAUGUAAAAGUGUGUAAGUAAGUGCUUAAGUAUUUAAAUGUCUUUUGGGGGCGCCUGGGUGGCUCAAUCGUUAAGCGUCUGCCUUCGGCUCAGGUCAUGAUCCCAGCGUCCUGGGAUGGAGCCCUGCAUCGGGCUCCCUGCUCAGCGGGAAGCCUGCUUCUCCCUCCCCCACUCCCCCUGCUUGUG